RNAcentral lists this ribosomal RNA (483 nucleotides) under uncultured bacterium. RNAcentral describes it as "partial 16S ribosomal RNA". It matches the Rfam family "Bacterial small subunit ribosomal RNA", at positions 28 to 507 of the family's 1533-position model. The record is from RNAcentral.
GACGAACGCUGGCGGCGUGCUUAACACAUGCAAGUCGAACGCUGAAGCUCAGCUUUUGUUGGGUGGAUGAGUGGCGAACGGGUGAGUAACACGUGAGUAACCUGCCCCCUUCUUUGGGAUAACGCCCGGAAACGGGUGCUAAUACUGGAUAUUCACUGGUCUUCGCAUGGGGGUUGGUGGAAAGGGUUUUUCUGGUGGGGGAUGGGCUCGCGGCCUAUCAGCUUGUUGGUGGGGUGAUGGCCUACCAAGGCUUUGACGGGUAGCCGGCCUGAGAGGGUGCCCGGUCACAUUGGGACUGAGAUACGGCCCAGACUCCUGCGGGAGGCAGCAGUGGGGAAUAUUGCACAAUGGGCGCAAGCCUGAUGCAGCGACGCCGCGUGAGGGAUGGAGGCCUUCGGGUUGUGAACCUCUUUCGCUCAUGGUCAAGCCGCAACAAUGGUUGUGGUGAGGGUAGUGGGUAAAGAAGCGCCGGCUAACUACGUG